CUAAACUGUUCCGUGUAAAAAUUACUGUUUCACAUACGUGAUGCAAAUACAAAAUAAACCCAGUAAAACCAAGAGGUAGGUUGACUGAAUGGCUAAAUGAAUAGCUGAGUAUGCUUAUGUUGAUGUGUGCACAGGAUGUACACGCAAAGUGUCCAGGCAUUUCUUUUUUAAGCAGAGGUUUGUUGUUUUAAAUACAGACACACACACCACACAAAAAAAAACACUGUCAGAAAUAUAGGCAGAGGUUGUAUGUAUAGUUUGAUUUGAUUUAUAGACUUUCCCUUGUUUUUCUCUAGCUACUGACAUCUGUUCGCUCUCCCACAACCCUGGCCUUGAUGGCAUGACAAACUUAUUCAGACAAACACA
This is a long non-coding RNA of Thalassophryne amazonica, 366 nucleotides long. RefSeq lists it as uncharacterized. NCBI's taxonomy places the organism in Eukaryota, Metazoa, Chordata, Actinopteri, Batrachoidiformes, Batrachoididae. The record is from RefSeq and is a predicted model, not a curated record. The transcript has 3 exons.